AAUUUGUCAGUGUCUUCCGUUCAUAUUAUAUUCAAAAUUUCUUUACGAUCUAAAGACAAUUAAUAUCCAAAUGAAUGGCUGCAAACUCUUCAACCAACAUUGCUACUUCUACCACGAUGAGAUCGCCCACUGUCAAACAUCCGGCAGAAAAACCAGAUAAAAGUUCAAGGGAGACAACUUCAAGAUAUGGCAACAAAAGAUGAUAUUCUAUCUCACUACGUAGAAUCUUGCUUACAUUUUGAAGGAAGAUUGUGCAAUUACCCACUAGAAGAUGUAACGUGACUCCCGAAAUGGAAGUUGCAAAGCAAGCAUAGAUACAUUUGAACUUCCUGUGCCAUAUGUAUAUACCUAGUGGUCUUCUGAGGACACUUUUUAUAAUGUAUAUUGCAAUGCUUACAAUACAUCAAAAUUAUUGUGGGAGGUACCAGACAAGAAGUAAAAGCUGAAAGAUGCUGGUAUUAAGAAAUUUCUCGUGGAAAAAUUCUUCGAUUGCAAGAUGAUUGCUACGAAAUUGAUGGUCAAUCAAAUGAAAGAAUUGCAAAUUAUCAUCACUUAUUUGCAAAGAUUGCUACAAGUCUUUAAUUGUUUUCAUGUUUAAGUCGAGUUACCUCAUCUAGCUUAUGUUUGAGUCUGAAUAUUAUACAUCGAGCGUAUUUGUUUUCAAUUGAGCUGUAAUCCCUUGCUAGUAUUUCGUUCAUAUUAUAUUGAAUAUUUCUUCCCACACUUAAAAGUGGCAAAUAAA
Molecule: long non-coding RNA, 742 nt
Filed under: Cucumis sativus (cucumber)
Lineage: Eukaryota; Viridiplantae; Streptophyta; Magnoliopsida; Cucurbitales; Cucurbitaceae
Description: long non-coding RNA (CSAT_LNC000567)
Source: RNAcentral